RNA transcript from Mus musculus (house mouse), 4378 nucleotides. It is a transcript of the gene named MOB kinase activator 3C, with no coding region annotated. NCBI's taxonomy places the organism in Eukaryota, Metazoa, Chordata, Mammalia, Rodentia, Muridae. The transcript has 4 exons. The record is from RefSeq and is marked validated.
GGAAGAUCCAGGCGGUCCUUUGGGGCGGCUCCUCAGUUAGUCCUUUGCCCUCGGGGAGACAGCGAGCCCGAUCGGACUUCCCACUUCCCGGAAAGGCUAAAGAGAAGAGUAAGUAUCCUGGGACGGGGGAGUCCCUUUCCCCGCCCCUCCCCGCCCCGUGGCCGCGGCGUGGCUGAGCCUGGGGCGGAGCUGGCGUCUCCUCGAGCACUGGCGGCGGGACGGCGGCCGCGGCCCAGAUCAGACUGGUGGGUAGACGCUGAGACCCGCACGGCGGGAUCACAGGCCGGAGGACGACCGGCGCGUUGCGGUGUGGCCGCAGGGACAGAGACCCGGAGCUGUCCACUCAGGCGGAGCGGGUCAUCUUCAAGUCCCUGUGCCGAGAGAUCCAGCUGCACCCGCCUGGCCAUGGCACUGUGUCUGAAACAGGUGUUUGCGAAGGACAAGACUUUCCGGCCCCGGAAGCGCUUCGAGCCUGGCACACAGCGCUUUGAGCUAUAUAAGAAGGCACAAGCUUCACUCAAGUCCGGCCUGGACCUUCGGAGUGUGGUGAGGCUGCCGCCUGGGGAGAGCAUCGAUGACUGGAUCGCUGUGCAUGUGGUGGACUUCUUCAACCGUAUCAACCUCAUCUAUGGCACCAUGGCUGAGCACUGCAGUGAGAGCAGCUGCCCAGUCAUGGCUGGUGGGCCCCGCUACGAGUACCGCUGGCAGGACGAGCGUCAGUACCGAAGGCCCGCCAAGCUCUCAGCACCCCGCUAUAUGGCAUUGCUCAUGGACUGGAUCGAGGGUCUCAUCAAUGAUGAGGAUGUCUUUCCUACACGUGUGGGAGGAAACUGAGGCCAAUGGUGGGAUAGCACACUGAAUAGAAAAGGCUUCAGAACUGGAAUUCUGUGUUGUGGGGACCAGAUGCCAUUGUCCAGAUAAGUAGGGCAGGAGUGUGGGGACUAGGCUGGGUUCUCAGAGAGGCAGAGCACAAGCCCCAGGGAACAGUGGGAAGGAAGGAUGUGUAUGGACUAGGGCUUAGUCUGAUCCUGGCUCUUAUUUCCUCUAGCCUACAUCCCUGGGUUUGUGAGCCCUGGGUAAACUUUCCACUAGAUGACUGGAUGAUUCUGUCAUAGUAGAAAUGAGGGUGUAAACCACCAGGAUCUCUGGCCUGGAUGUGGGGCCUGCACAUGCACUGGCUUUCCCAUGCCUCUAGUGGCCUUUCCUGGCCAGGCAGGAUUGAUAUUAUUUAUCUCUAAGAGGUACUGCUGUGCAAAGAGGGUUUGAGUCCUGCCUCCGGUUCGUACUAAGUAAUAAUUAUGGGUCCUCAGGCGGGUGGCUUCACCUUUACACAUUACCUACAUUUUAUCAUAUCUGGAAUGACUAUCAGAGCCAUCAGCACAAUUGUGAAGAGCAGAGGGCAGAGGUACAAAGGGCCCAGCUCACAGCUGGGCUCACAGAGGGAAAGUCCCUUAUAUUAUUGAAUAUCUGAAGGAAUGAAUGCUAUUCUGAAGCAGUUCUUGGAGUGUUGGCAAGCGGGUGGGGGACGGGAGAGUAAUGAGCCAGCUGUGAGAACAGUAAGCAGCAGAACUGAGCAUGCGACUGGAGAGGGCCAUCAGGAUUGGCUCAUAAAAGCUUUGCACCUUGCCAUGCUGUGAUAAUAAGACUUAACCCCGAAGGCCCAUGUUUUUAAAAACUGGCCCACGUACUGACAACCUCCCCACUGGACUGUACAGGAGAAAGUGGUGUGUAUGUAUAUCUGUAUGGGUGCUCAGGUUUCUGAGGAAAGGUUAUGCCAUAAUUUUCACUGUGGUCUGAGGCAGACUGGCCAGUGACAAGCUUGCAAAGCCCUACCUUAAGGAGUGGGAAAUGUGGAAGGUGAUCUGGGAUAGAGCAGGAAGAAGGCAUUUUAAGAUCUGCUGGGGUUAGGGCUCAUGGUGUGAAUGGAUUCCUAGAUUCAGUCCCCAGCACUUCUUCCCACUCAAAAAGAAAACUAUAGGAGAAAGCGAAACUCUUGUUCUGCCUUUCUCUACGGGUCCUGUGCGGAGGAGGGGUGAAGACUGCCUGGGUGGGGGGAGGCAGAGUUUUCUCCCUAGGAUUUUGAUUCCUCUUCCACUCAUCUCCAUCCCUAGGAGUUCCCUUCCCCAAGAACUUCCAGCAGGUCUGCACCAAGAUCCUGACCCGACUCUUCCGAGUCUUUGUCCAUGUCUACAUCCACCACUUUGACAGCAUCCUCAGCAUGGGGGCGGAGGCACAUGUCAACACCUGCUAUAAGCACUUUUACUACUUCAUCCAGGAGUUCAGCCUGGUGGACCAGAGGGAACUGGAGCCACUGAGGGAGAUGACAGAACGGAUCUGUCACUGAGUCCAGAUCUGGAUGCUGUUGCCUGUCAGAUGGACCAUCUGCAGACAGUGUAGCCUGGAGAGGGGACCCUUAGGAGCCUGUGGGUAGAGAAAUCUGAAGGCCUGCUUAAGAGUAGGAACCCUCUAUAGACCCAACACCUCUGGACUUCUCAGAAGUCUGUCUGCAUCCUAGAAUGCAUGAAGAAGGGAGGGUUCCAAGUGGGCCACAGAAGAAAAGGAGUUUAGCCCCUCAUAUUAAGUCCAAGAGUAGGGCAGGCUACCAGGGUUCUGCUCUGAUAUUUCAACCUUACACUCUACCAUGACAGUUCCCAACUCCAUGGGGGAAUAAGGAUGUGGCUGAGUGCUGGCAAGAAAAUUAUAGAGAGUGAGUGCCUGUUCCUGAGUAAGCAAGUGUGUGUGUGUGUGUGUGUGUGUGUGUGUGUGUGUGUGUGUGUGUGAUUGUGGGAUUUGUCUGAGAGAUCUAGGUCCUUCCAGACACAUAGUAGGCUCUCAUUAUGGAUGGAUAGAUGAUGGAUGUAUAGAUAGAUGGAGAGGUUAACUAUAAGUCCAUGACCAUUUUAGGAGUAAUGACAGCUUAGUGACCCAACUCUGACCAUGUGUACAAGUGUACAAAUGUGUGUGUAUAGAUGGAAUUGUACCUCUGAAUCUUCUAGACUACCAUCUUCUAUAAACAUGAGUCCCUGGCAUUUGAGUGGAGGUUAGACAGUGCAGCUUUGCCCUGAGUUCCUUAAACCUCUGACCUAUCACCAUGUGGGCUGAUUUGCCCAGCCAAGGAUGUCUAUGGAUUGUUAGUUCACUCAUCUCUGCCUCUAGCAGGGCCUGAUAUCAUUAAGCCUAUGAGCCUGGCAGUGGUGGCACACACCUUUAAUCUCAGCACUUAGGAGGCAGAGGUAGGUUCGAUCUCUGAGUUCGAGGCCAGCCUGGUCUACAGAGUGAGUUCCAGGACAGCCAGGGCUACAUAGAGAAACCCUGUCUCAAAAAACAAAAAACAAAAAAACAAAAACAAAAACAAAAAAAACAAGCAAACAUAUGGUCAGCCUCUUGAGGGUUGGGAUUGAUCCCUCAGGGUCCCCUGGAUCUUGAACUUGGACACAAGAUACUUCAAUCUCAAACCCAGAAUCUACUGACAUGACUGAAGGCCAGCACAAAAUAGCCCUCCAGACCAGGGAGCCACUGGAACUUGAAUGAAUUGAAGAAUCCAAUUUUCUUCUAUCUCAGGACACUGAGGAUCAUGCAACUGAUGGAGACCUUCCCAUCCUAAAAACACCUGCCUCGGCCCAGCCUCCUGAUACAUUCAGGCUUCUUGGAUUUCCAAGCCACAGCUAUCCAGAGAGGCUAGGAUGCUUAUUCAUUAGCCAUUACUUAAUACCUCCAUGCUGAGCCCUCUGCACAGACUCACAGGCAGGGAAACCGGCAGAAAUAGGUUUCUGCCCUUCCAGAGCCUUUAUCCUGAGAGGCCAGGAGGGCAAGAAGUCACAUAAGAAUAUUGUCUCUGUCUCUCAAUAUGCAUUGGAGGAAAUUGAAACCGGUAAAAAUUCAAAGCUCUUGACUUCUACUCUAGGGCCUGCUGAUUGCAACACCAAGAUGCAUGUGCAAAUAGAGGCUGUCAGACACUCUCCAGGACACAACUGUUUCUGCUUUGAGUAAGGAUUUCUAGCCUGAUGCCACAAAGCCCUACCACACCCUGGCCUGGCUAGAGAUGGCUGCUGAGGCAAACCUCCAAAACCAGGCCCCUUCUUAUGGCUGAGGAACUGCCUGCCUUCCAAAGAAACAGUGGGGCUCUCCGGGGCAGCAGGACCUGGGAUGUCUGCUGGCUCCAGAAAAGUCCCCAAGGGAAACAGGCUGGCCUGCAGCUUUGGCAAUGUCUCAGAACUGAGGACAGUGGGAGAUUCCCCCCACGGUGGGCUGCAGAAUAUAUUCUGAAAUCUAGGCUGUGAAAAGGGACCACAGGGGAGGGGGGAGGAGGGAAAUCUAUUUUUGUGAAAAGAAAGAUUUUGCUAUUUUUUUGUAAAAUAAAAGAUACAAACUAAAGCAA